GGGCGUUUGGCACAGUGGUAGCGCGCACGCUUUGCAUGCGUGAGGUCGAGGGUUCAAACCCCUCAACGUCCA
This is a transfer RNA of 72 nucleotides. It matches the Rfam family "tRNA". Rfam says of the family: Transfer RNA (tRNA) molecules are approximately 80 nucleotides in length. Their secondary structure includes four short double-helical elements and three loops (D, anti-codon, and T loops). The record is from Rfam.